Long non-coding RNA from Peromyscus eremicus (cactus mouse), 1694 nucleotides. RefSeq lists it as uncharacterized. The transcript has 2 exons. The record is from RefSeq and is a predicted model, not a curated record. NCBI's taxonomy places the organism in Eukaryota, Metazoa, Chordata, Mammalia, Rodentia, Cricetidae.
CCGCCAAACACCUCAAAGAUAAGUAGUCUGCUAACCAGACCUGUUAGGGAUAAGUGAAAUUUUGGAUGCUGGGAUGUAAAUGUUUACUCAUCAGAAUUGAUUAGCCAUGAGAUCUGAUUCCCACAGCAAAGGCAUACUUCUAAGGGGCAGCUCAAGAUUCGAAGCACACAAUCACAACCAUCAUUAAGUUCUGGUCUGCCAUUAAGUCUCUUGUGCUCUUAUCAGGAAAGACAUAAUUCUGCCAGGCUGGUGUGGGGAUUUUCAAAGUCAAAGAACUGCUGAAUCCUAAGAAUGUAUGCUAGCCUUCCCCAGCAUCAUGCCAACCAUCGACAACAGACCAUUGGAGAGUUUAUGAAGAAGCAGAGAAUGUGAAGAACAUGAUCAGAAAAAAGAACGCUGAAGAGGUGGAGAUGCUACUGACCUGAUUUGCUUGUCCCAUGUUGUGCGCGGCAUUGGAUUGUCACGUGUCACCCCAUAAAUAUGUACAAUUGUUAGGACUCAAAAGAAAAGGGAUAAUAAGCAUCUAGAGUUGCAGCUAGCAAGAAUAAGCAUUCCAUAAAUGUGCUGCUGUUGAAAUUUUAAAAGUUCAAUGUGGGGACAGUAGCUGUAGUAGGGGAGUAUGCACUGGAGAGGGAAACAGGAAACAGUAGGAUUAACACAUGAAAAAAGACAGUUGGCAGCGAAAGCCUGGGAGCCUGGGCUCCAUUGUAACACCACAGCAAACUGACAAUAGCCUUUAAUAGUCUUCCAUACUCAAACAGGAAAUGAGGGGGCUGUGUAAGUGCCCUUAAAGUACUGUGUAGCUCAUCUCCCACUGAUUUGGGGGCCUCUUCUCUCAGUAGGCCACUCCUAUUUUCAGGAGUCUGUUGCCUUUCUACACAAGCUGUCUCUACUUCCAUUUCUGAGUAUGGUGUAAACCUUAGUCUGGAGAUGCAAGAGCAUAGAUGCCCCCUGAACUCAUGGCUCCAUAUUAAAUGUAUUUUUCUUUUUUCUUCUCCCUUUUAAAUACUGGUCAAAAGCCUAAGCAUGCUUUCACUGACACUUGGACUUCCCACUCUUUCUCUGAAGCCUUCCUGUUCCACAUACAGGUGCUCAUGAACAUCUUUUGCUGAACACCCUGGCUUUCUGGGAACCUAAUUCAAAAAGGCAACUUUCUUCCUCUUCUCCAUCCUUUCCUCUGAGCAGCUACUGAGAUUACCAUUAGCAAGUGCCACAAAACUAGAACUAGACCACUCUGUAGGUAGAAAAGAUAAUUAUUUAGGGACAAACUGCCAGGCUGACUCACAAGAACAGACAGCAGCAGCUGGAGGGAACACCUUAUCAGUUUUAUGAGGGUAGGUAUCAAAGGUUAUGAGGUCUAUCAGCCAGAGCAGCCCCAGGAGUUAGUGUGGGGACUUUGUUUUGAUGCAGACUGUCGGGUUAAUCAGGAACUAGAUGCACUUUGCUCAAGGGUAUGGACUGUUGAAGGUGGAGAAGGGAAGUAAUCAUGGGAUUCCUGAGGGAUACUGAGUUUCUGUUUACCUAUAAUAUAAUAGUCCUUCUGUUUCUGCAGUGGAACCCGGCAUGGCUUGGGCCUGGAGGUCAUCUUAGGAUGUUGGCAGCACCGCCGUUUUAGGGGCCCACUUUGUGACAUAACAAUUGCCGUCUAUCCGCCCGGUGGCUUAGUCUCAAAUGCCAAUAAAUCGUCUCCCUGG